CCCCCCGCCGCCUCCUUCCCCCGCGGCCGGCGAGGCCGGGCCGCGCUCCCCGGCCGCCCCCCGGUCCCCGCUCACGCUCCACGUCGUGCAGCUUGGCCCGCUCCUCCUCCAGCUUGCCCUUCAGGCUCUCCGCCUCGGUUUUCAGCGACGCCAAGAUAUGCAAACUUGGGCCUUCUCAGCCCCUGAAAAGGACCAAUUUCCAAGACUCCAAAGGCAGCAAAGAACAGCUCCCUGUCUCAGCAACUUCUGCUUGUGGGCAGAGAGGGAACGUGUGCGAUGUGCACAGAGCGGCUCACGUUUCCAGAGGAAGAACAGCAGCAAAUAACCUUGCAACUUUUUGUUCCCUGGGAGUUCCUUGAAAAUGUCCUUUCUUCACAAAUUGUCCUUGAUCUACACGGAAUAACUUUGCUCAUAUUGACUCUCAUUGUCUCCCUUUAGCCAGAAAAUAGACAAUCAAAUGGCUAUUGUUCAACCUGGAGAUGUUCCAAGAUUAGAAAAGGAGAUAAGAAAAGUGUUUGCAGCUGUUGUUUAGACUCUGGGCACAUCCUGGACAUAGUACAGCCUCAGAGAAAGUAAGUCCUUUCCCACAGGGGCUUAGCAGCAGUGUCACUGACCAGGACUCAUGGGCAGACCUGUUGAGCUCUUCAUUGUAAAUCUGCAGGCUGAAGUCAGGCCUUGGUCUGGCUUUAUGCUCAAGGUCUGUUUUACAGAAGCUGGGCCACUUAUCUGGAGAGUGAAAUACAGUGAUUGCAUUUCCAGUUUUCCUCCUGUCCACAGAAGCAGGUGCAACAACCCUACCAGUCUGAUGGCCAUGUAGGCAACUCUGGACUUACUUUGAUCCAGUUACAUUCAGUAUCAUAAAAGAAAAAGGAGACAGUAUACUCAGUGGAGUUCACAUACUACUGGAUAUGCUUUCAUUAAAAAUAAAAACAAAACUUACCAGCAAUCGUCUAAAAACCCUAUGAUAGUAAAUGCCUUGUUAACACAUCAGAAUUUACCAUGUUUAACCUGAAAUGGCAGUUCAGUCCACGGCAGUGGACAAAAUAUAGGCCCUCUUAGUUUGUGCUCUGAUUUCAGAUGAGUUUCAAAACACAUCAGCACAGGCCAAAAGGCUGUGAAAACAUCCUGUACAGGAGGUAUGGUAUGCGGACUGUGUGGAAAAGAGUAGUAAGUAACUGAACUCUGUAAUGUUAUGAUCCAUUAAUUGUGCACUAAUGACUGGUACAUGAAAGUGUUUGUUGCUGUCACUUUGUACUGAUCAGCAUUCCCUAGAAAACCGAUCACUUACAAACUGUCUGCUAUGUCCUCAGAGGCAGUGAGCUUCCAUGUUGCCCAGGAACAAGGACAGCUUUGUUUUAAGACAGGUUUUGACUCUGACUCUUCCCUAGGAACCAAAGGCAUGAUGACCCUUGGCUUCAAAUAUUUUGAGGCUAUUUUGAGGUAACCAUUCUGAAAGUAGUCUGUUUUCAAUAGAGCAUUAUUCUGUGGAGCUGCUACAGAAGAAUUCAAUCACCAAGAAUUGUGGCAAGAACAGUCAUUACCACAACCGCAAACCUACCUUCCAAGUGUGGCAAAUGCACCACAUUGUGGUGAUGGGAAUACAUGCGAGAAAGCUGGUACUAUUCCAUGCUGGGGAAAUGGAAGGUCUGACUGUGUCACACAUUGCUGACUAUGUCAAAAGGUACAGUUUCUUAACGAGGAUUUCAUUUCCUCACCAUGUUUUCCACAGGAAAAAGCCUGUAUGGAUGUGCAAUCUUAGAUGGCCACAACUGUUUGAACCUUGUGAAUUCAAGGACAUGACUUCAAGAUUUUGAGGGCUUUGUGACACAAACUCUUUUGGAUUGAGUGGCUAAGUAAUAAUCACAGCUUGGAGUUAUGAAGAACAUUGAAGAAGAACUGGACUAACCUCGUAGCUUUUUUCAAGCCCUCAUACGCAAACCACAAUUCUCCAUCUUCAUUUAAGUGUUCCAAAUCCUCCGUAGACAGUCUAGAAUUAAAGGCAGUACCAUUAGUGUGCAGAACUCUUCAUGGCCCAAGAGAAUUACUUUCAAGCAACUUGUUGGCAGUACAAUCAUGCUUUGCCUCUCCUCAGCUAUGGAGGAAGCAUCUGACCUAUUUCUGCUUAUGAUUCCAGUCGCUGAACUCUGUAUGAAAGCUGGAUAUUUGAUACAAACCGCCGAAUAUUCUGAAAUCUGCGCCUGGCAAGCCAUGCACGGGCAUAUUUCUGAAGGAUCACAGCCUUGUGUUCUUCAAGCAUCUUUAAAAUAAAAGAUUAACAUAUGUCUGUAAUUAUCCGUGGCUCAGUCAGCAUCAAGUAAAGCGUUCUGUGA
This is a long non-coding RNA of Oxyura jamaicensis (ruddy duck), 2330 nucleotides long. RefSeq lists it as uncharacterized. The transcript is spliced from 7 exons. The record is from RefSeq and is a predicted model, not a curated record. Lineage: Eukaryota; Metazoa; Chordata; Aves; Anseriformes; Anatidae.